AAAUUGAAGAGUUUGAUCAUGGCUCAGAUUGAACGCUGGCGGCAGGCCUAACACAUGCAAGUCGAACGGUAACAGGAAGCAGCUUGCUGUUUCGCUGACGAGUGGCGGACGGGUGAGUAAUGUCUGGGAAACUGCCUGAUGGAGGGGGAUAACUACUGGAAACGGUAGCUAAUACCGCAUAACGUCGCAAGACCAAAGAGGGGGACCCUCGGGCCUCUUGUCAUCGGAUGUGCCCAGAUGGGAUUAGCUUGUUGGUGGGGUAACGGCUCACC
Molecule: ribosomal RNA, 272 nt
Filed under: Escherichia coli
Lineage: Bacteria; Pseudomonadati; Pseudomonadota; Gammaproteobacteria; Enterobacterales; Enterobacteriaceae
Description: partial 16S ribosomal RNA
Rfam family: Bacterial small subunit ribosomal RNA
Source: RNAcentral